RNAcentral lists this long non-coding RNA (879 nucleotides) under Gossypium barbadense (sea-island cotton). Its description in RNAcentral is "long non-coding RNA (GBAR_LNC021257)". The record is from RNAcentral. Lineage: Eukaryota; Viridiplantae; Streptophyta; Magnoliopsida; Malvales; Malvaceae.
AAGCUUCUUGCUGGUGUGCGGGCUAUGGAGAGUUGAUAAAUCCGUUGGUUUUCUUAUUUGUUUCUCAAUCCAACUUCAUCAAGCUUCAUUUUCCUGCAAAUUCAUACGCUUUCGAUCUCCAUUAUCUCUAAAUCCAAGCAAAGAUUUUUAUUUUUUUAUUUUUUUUGAAUUUCUUCCAUUCUUGUUUUUUCUUCGAUUUUUUAAAGGCUUUUAUUUUAUUGGUUGGCAGUUGAUUUUCUACGUUUCUGUUUUGUCUUUUAAUAAAUAGAAAUCCUCAGCUUUUAGAUCCUCUUCUGGGUUUUACUUUGUUUUUCAUUUAGAUUUGUUUCAAUAAUUUACUUUUUAACUCUCAUUUUAAAGCCUUGGAUUUUUGUUUCUUCAUGCAACAAGUUUAUCAUUUUCUUUUUAAUGUUGCCAAAAUCUAGGGAAAGCGAAAUCCAGAAACAACCAGAGGAAGUAAUUUCCAUGUUAGAUCCAGCUCCAGCAUACAACAAUCAAAACUAAACUCGAAAAGGAAACAAUUAUAUAAAAAACUUAGCCUUUUAGUAUAAAGCUAAAAUAAGUAAAUAACUAACAUACCCAAAAGGUUCUUUGUUUUUAUUUAGCUAAAUUGCCAGAUUUGCAUCAAACUCAACAAGCCAUUUUUCACUAUCAAUCCUAUUCAACAAAAUCAAGGGGGGUUGAACCCUAAAAAGAGAAGAAAGGUGGGUUUACCAACAAGAAGAACAAGGCGUUUAGCAGGAGGAGAGAAGCAGAAUCUGUACCCUUUGAGGAGAUGCAAAGGGCUGCCAAUUUGGGGAAAUUGGGGGGAAAAAUAAAGGGAAUCGGGGUAGGGGAGAAAUGGUUUGGGAAAAAUAAAAUGGGGAAAAAAGAAAGAUU